UUUAGUGCUUAGGGCUUCCAGUAUCCGUGAACUCUAACAUUCAGGGCCUCCAAAGUCUCCAAUGUCCAGAAUAACCAAUAUCUCCAAAAUUCAAGGCUUCCAAUGUCUCCAACAUCCUGUGCUUCCAAUGUCUCCAAUGUCCAGGGUUUCCAAUGGUGCCAGUGUCAAGGUCUUCCAGCAACUCCAAGUCUUCCAACAACAUCGAGGUCUUCCAGCUAAUCCCAGUCUUCCAGAAAAUCCACGCCUUCCAGACAAGCCACGUCUUCCAGUAAAUCCAGUGUUCCAGCAAUUACAGGUCUUCUGCAAAAUCAACGUCUUCCAUAUCUUCCAGGAAAAUCUACGUCUUCCAGAAAAAUCCUUGUCUUCCAAUGGUUUCAAGAUCUUCCAGCUAAUCCACAUCUUCCAGAAAAAAAUCUAGGUCUUCCAACCAAUCCAUGUCUUCCACCAAAUCCAGCCUUCCAGUCAAUCCAUGUCUUCUGGACAAAAUUUAUGUCUUCCACUAAAUCCAGGUCUUCCAAUAAAGCUACGUUUUCCAGAAAAUUCACGUCUUCCACUUAAUCUCCGUCUUCACAAAUAUAUGUCUUCCUUGAUAUCUGCAUCUUCCAGUAACUGCCAAGUCUUCCAGCAAAUCAGCAUCUUCCGAACAGUGAAAGUCUUCCGGACAAUUCGGGUUCUCCUGAAAAUCCAUGUCUUCCAGAAAACCAUGUCUUCCAGGAAAUCCAUGCCUUCCAGUCACUUCCAGGUCUUCCAGACUAUCCAUGUCUUCAAUCAAAUCCAUGACUUCCAGAAAAUCCACAACUUCCAGAGAAACCAUGUCUUCCAGCAAAUCCUUAUCUUCCAGAAAUCUUUGUCCUCCAAAGCGCUGUGUCUUCCAUCAGAUUUAUGUCUUCCAGCCUACCCAUGUCUUCCAACAAAGCCACAUCUUCCAGAAAAUUCUCGUCUUCCAGAGCAUCCACGUUUUCCAACAAAGCCAUGUCUUCCAACAAAGGCACAUCUUCCAGAAAAUCUACAUCUUCCAACUAAGCCACGCCUUCCAGAAAAUUCAUGUCUUCCUACACCUCCAAGUCUUCCAGCAUCUCCAGGGCUUCCAGCAUCUGCUCGUCUUCCAGCAUCUCCACAUCUUCCGACAACUACCCAGUCUUCCAGCAGUGGGCUACAUAUCCACGUCUUCUGUCUCCAGUGUACCGAUCUUCUAACAUUCAGGUCUUCCAGUGUCUACAAUAUCCAGGGACUCCGGUGUCCUCUCCCAUCCCCAAAUGUGCAUAUGAGGUGGAGUGGCACAUCUGCAGUGUCCCCGUCUAAGUGAGUGUAGAUGUGUGAGAGAGGACCUGCGAUGGAAAGGCGUACUGUCCAGGGUGGAUCCCGCCUUCUGUCCUGAGCUGCCAGGAGAGGCUCCAGUCACCUGUGACCCUGAACUAGAAUAAGCAGAUGAAUUAUAGAGUCAACUUGUCAACUUUGGUGUAAAGAAAAAAAUUCCCUGGAAGUGCCUUGGACCUUUUGAGUAACCUGUCAAGAAGUGGCAUCUUUGCAAUACAGAAUUUUGCAUUUAUCUUUUCUCCAGGCAUCACAUUAAACUCUGUUCUUAUCUCUGUGCUCCCCCCACCAUGAAUUACCUUUAAUUCCUAGCUACAUAAUCAUGUCAGUCAUAAAUAAGAAAAAGUUUAUCUUUUCAUUGCAAAUGGUUGUUUCUGAUUUGGUUUUCUUUUUGGCACAUCGGUAAAGAUCUUAUAAUUUCCAGGACAAUGCAGAUUUAUACUGACAAUAAAGAAUAGGCCUCCUUCUCUUGUUAUUGACUUUAAUAACAGUACCUCCUUGUUUCACUCUCAAAUGGGAUUCCUAUUAUUUCUGACAGUAACUCUGUUUCAACUUAUGGAAACACCCUUCUAGCCCUGAUUCCUGACUUAUAGUUUUUUUGUCAGAAACAGAUGUAAAAUGUUAUCAAGUGUCCUCUCUAGGAUCUGCCAAGGUGAUAAUAUGAUUAUUCUUUUUAAUCCAUUAGUGUAGUUAAUUAUACUGAUAGGUUUCCUAAUGUUGAGCUACUCUUGCAUUCUUGUAAUAAAAGUGACUUGGUACCAGUGUUUUUGCUUAUGCUCAUAUUUCAUGUCACAACUAAAACUCUAUUAACACGUUCCUAGAGAAGAGCCUUGUACCUUUUUCACAUCAUGGCCAUGGUAAAUUAAAUGGACAGGAUUGCUCAGGGCAAAAGCAACUGGCUUUCCAAGCUCCUCCUGUCUGCCCUAAAUGCCUUAGAAGAUAUCAUGUUAUACACAAAACCUAUCCUCAGAACACCAAUGUGCACAUUUGUUGGGAAAUUCUCAUUUGUUAUUUUCCUUUGUGUAAUUUCCUUUUCCUGAUUUAAUAUCAGAAUGGUAUUACCCUUUGAAUCAAAUUAAUUUUUUUUCUUAGUUUACAGUCUAAGUAAAUUAGACACAAACCGUUCCCUUAAACACUUGGUAACACUCACCCAUAAAAACAUUUUGUUCUUGUGUUUGGGGAGUGGGGGAGUAACAACAUAGUAAAUGCUCUUUUCAAUUUGUUUGAUGAUUAGACUCAUUUCCUUAAGUUAGUUUCGUCAGUUUGUUUGUAAAAUUGUUUCAUUUCA
This is an RNA transcript of Artibeus jamaicensis (Jamaican fruit-eating bat), 2602 nucleotides long. It is a transcript of the gene named IgA FC receptor-like, with no coding region annotated. NCBI's taxonomy places the organism in Eukaryota, Metazoa, Chordata, Mammalia, Chiroptera, Phyllostomidae. The transcript has 3 exons. The record is from RefSeq and is a predicted model, not a curated record.